GACGAACGCUGGCGGCGUGCUUAACACAUGCAAGUCGAACGGAAAGGCCCUGCUUUUGUGGGGUGCUCGAGUGGCGAACGGGUGAGUAACACGUGAGUAACCUGCCCUUGACUUUGGGAUAACUUCAGGAAACUGGGGCUAAUACCGGAUAGGAGCUCCUGCUGCAUGGUGGGGGUUGGAAAGUUUCGGCGGUUGGGGAUGGACUCGCGGCUUAUCAGCUUGUUGGUGGGGUAGUGGCUUACCAAGGCUUUGACGGGUAGCCGGCCUGAGAGGGUGAACGGCGACAUUGGGACUGAGAUACGGCGCAGACGCGUACGGGAGGCAGCAGGGGGGAACAUUGCACAGUGGGCGGAAGUCUGAUGCGGCAACGCCGCGUGCGGGAUGACGGCCUUCGGGUUGUAAACCGCUUUCGCCUGUGACGAAGCGUGAGUGACGGUAAUGGGUAAAGAAGCACCGGCUAACUACGUG
RNAcentral lists this ribosomal RNA (468 nucleotides) under uncultured bacterium. Its description in RNAcentral is "partial 16S ribosomal RNA". It matches the Rfam family "Bacterial small subunit ribosomal RNA", at positions 28 to 507 of the family's 1533-position model. The record is from RNAcentral.